RNAcentral lists this microRNA precursor (107 nucleotides) under Canis lupus familiaris (dog). RNAcentral describes it as "mir-8834 microRNA precursor family". It matches the Rfam family "mir-8834 microRNA precursor family". Lineage: Eukaryota; Metazoa; Chordata; Mammalia; Carnivora; Canidae. RNAcentral also lists the same sequence under 1 other name. The record is from Rfam by way of RNAcentral.
AGGAGGAACAACCACAGUGGCGGCGGACAGCUCUGGAGCCUUGGAUUCAUCUCCUGCAGUAACUAAGGAGCUCUCAGUCUGCAGGGGCCUGGAGGCUCCAGGGGCGG